Molecule: ribosomal RNA, 443 nt
Filed under: uncultured soil bacterium
Lineage: Bacteria
Description: bacterial SSU rRNA
Rfam family: Bacterial small subunit ribosomal RNA
Source: RNAcentral
AGGAUGAACGCUGGCGGUAUGCUUAACACAUGCAAGUCGAACGGGGUCUUUCGGGAUCUAGUGGCGGACGGGUGAGUAACGCGUGAGAAUCUGCCUACAGGACUGGGACAACAGCUGGAAACGGCUGCUAAGACCGGAUGUGCCGAGAGGUGAAAUAUUUAUAGCCUGUAGAUGAGCUCGCGUCUGAUUAGCUAGUUGGUGAGGUAAGAGCUCACCAAGGCGACGAUCAGUAGCUGGUCUGAGAGGACGAUCAGCCACACUGGGACUGAGACACGGCCCAGACUCCUACGGGAGGCAGCAGUGGGGAAUUUCGCAAUGGGCGAAAGCCUGACGGAGCAAUACCGCGUGAGGAGGAAGGUCUGUGGAUUGUAAACCUCUUUGAUAGGAAGAAGUUCUGACGUACCUAUCGAAUCAGCAUCGGCUAACUCCGUGCCAGCAGCCGU